GUGCAGCCAAUUAAGCCGACCAGGUUCCUUUCCUUGUAGGGGCCAGGUGUGCAAUGGCUGCAAACAGCAACCUCCUUGGUAGUGUAUGCAGCCUGUUUCAUGUAUGGGCUGCUCUAAGGGACCUUGGAGACAGUU
Nannospalax galili (Upper Galilee mountains blind mole rat) is the source of this 135-nucleotide small nucleolar RNA. Its record names the gene SNORA70. It matches the Rfam family "Small nucleolar RNA SNORA70". Rfam says of the family: snoRNA U70 seems to be exclusive to mammals and is a member of the H/ACA class of snoRNA which contain H (ANANNA) and ACA box motifs. H/ACA box snoRNAs are involved in the conversion of uridines to pseudouridines (5-ribosyluracil) a constituent of structural RNAs (transfer, ribosomal, small nuclear, and small nucleolar). Lineage: Eukaryota; Metazoa; Chordata; Mammalia; Rodentia; Spalacidae. The record is from Ensembl.